GGGAGCUUGGCUCUUGAGACAGGAGUCUUGCCGAUGCCCCCAGCCAAAUAAACCCCUUCCUUCUUUAACUGGGUGUCUGAGGAGUUUUGUCUGUGGCUCGUCCUGCUACAUUUCUUGGUUCCCUGACUGGGAAGUGAGGUGAUUGGUGGAUGGUUGAGGCAGCUCCUUAGGCGGCUUAAGCCUGCCCUGUGGAACAUGCCUGCUGGGGACUCCGACCAGCCUGAGAGACGCAGAUCCUGAGAGCGCUCCCGGGUACGCAUUUGCCCCGGUUGGACGCCUCGCCAGAGCAGUGUGUGGCAGGCUACCGUGGAGGAUCAACACAGUGGCUGAACACCAUGAAGGAGCAGGCACUUGGAGUCUGGACAUCUAAAACUUGGUGCGGUGUUUCUGCCUGAAAGCAGUGCUUGAUACCAGCACGAACUCUGCAUCUUCAGAAGUCCCACUGGGUGUUCUGGGUAAGUUCUCCAGAAUUAGGACCUCCCACUCCUUGGUUGAAAUAUAGACUUUAUUUGGCUGUUUUUCAAACUGUCUCUUUUCUUUAAGAGAGGGCUUUGGUCUCUGUCUUUGGACACAAGCUCCAAGUAAAGAGCUCUGUAGAAAAUGUCUUUUUGCUGCUGUGUCUCACAGGAGAGGUUCAGAUCAAGGUUCUUCCACCUCUGCCUCAGGACUGGAGGCUUAGGUCAAGGUUUUUCUGCCUCUGUCUCACAGCAGAGGUUCAGGUCAAAGGAUUGGCAGUUAGACACGGAUGGUUUUGUUUUAUAUGGCCUACUUUUAAGAUUAAAACUGUUUCUUCUGCUUAAAAAUUCAGACCUAUCCUUUUAUUUGAGACCAAUUCCUGUUAGUUUCUAACCGAAAAGUGUUCCCUCUUUUUGCUCUUCCAAACAGGUACACUAUGAAAGUCUGGUCCUCAUACACUGAGCACACUAUUGCUCCCUGGAAGUUAGAGACAGUCUGAGAUAAGUUACACUUUCACCCUAAAUACAUUCCCAGGCUUGACACUUUUGAAAAGUUCCUAAAUUAUGGGAAGUCAAGCAUCAAAAUUAGAGUAUUCCUUUUAGAAACACCAGCUGGAUUUAUGUAUAACACUCGUGGGGUAUCCUCUUGUAAAGGCCUAGGAAAGUGGACCCACCUAACCUGGUGAUACAGAAGGCAGAAAUUAUUUAGGCAGAUAGUGAGGGCAACAGAGUUCUUGGCAGAGCUUCCCUUCUAACAAAAAGCAGCCCCCCAAAUCAUUGCUUUUCUAACAAAGAGCAGCCUGAAAAAUAGAGCUGCAAACAUAGAUAAUCAAGCAGGAAGCUUGCACGGGCGAAUGCUGGCAGAGGCACCAAUAGAAAAGGGCCACCUGGGGGCCAGGCAUGUCCAACACGGAGGCUCCAUCUUCCCUUUUCUUGUUACCAUGUGUAGAGUAAAGAAACGGGCAACAUGGCACAGCUCAGGCAGAAGACCCGCCUGCAUAAUAAAAGAUUAUGGUAGGGGUGGCCAGAAAUUCAUACCCUAUGCACACGGCACAUCUAGUCCCAACCAGUUUUUCAUGACCUAUGCAAGUGGCACACCUGGUCCAACCAAUGUUUCACACCCUGUGUAAAUCAAACACUGCCUCCUCACCAGGCAUCUAUAAAACCCCUUGCAUUUCACCAUGGAUCCGGCAACCCAUUUUUCUGGACCCCUGUCUGCAACAGAGAGCUCUUCUCUUUCUUUUGCCUAUUAAACUUCCACUCUCAACCUGACACUUUAUGCAUCUGCAUCCUAGAUUUCUGUGUCUGUGAGACAACAGAUCUUGGGUGUUACUCCACAAUGAGGCCAUUUCACUGGGACGAUCAUAAACAGCAGUAACCAAAAUAAGAAUCCUUUGCUAUGUUGAAAAUAAUUCUUUGUGCACACAAUUGGAAAAAAAAGCUGGUUUUUGCACCACACAAACUGAAUCAGAGUAGUUUGUUUGUCUUGAAUUAAAUCUGGUAAUAAGAAAUUUAAAAAGAUUCUUUCUUAGAGCUCUAUGGUCAGAAGUCAGCUUAACUAAAAGCUGACAUUUAGGCUAUAAUUUUAAAAAUAAGAAUAAAAGGGGCUUUCUGCAUUUUCUUCUUUUGGAUCCUGUUUUGGGGGAUUUUUUUCCGUUGACUGAAACUCUUUUUAAAUGUGUUUGAUCCCUCUGGUUACUUCCUAUCUUGUUGGCAUAAUUUUUGCUGAGAAAAAUGUAAAACAUCAUUUGCCUUUUAGAAAGCUUAACAUGCCCCCAAAUUGGCUCUUAUAAGACUUAUUCUUUUGUUUCUUUUCACUUCUGAUCCUUUUUUCACUAUUUUUGAUACCACAAAUAAUAGUAGUAAUAAUAAUAAUAAAAUAAUAUAGUAUAUCUCUAGAGGAGAUAUAUUGUAUUAUUGUCUUUCAAAAUUGUAUGAUAUUCCUAAAAUUAUGAUGUGUUAACAUAUGUUGUCAGACACAAAUAUGGUUAUUAUGUUACACUGUCAUUCGCCACAGAAUUUCCUUGUCAAUUGUGUUUUUAACCAUGGUUAGUCUAAGUCUUUUGUCAUUCAUAGAAAAUUAUUGUUUUACUUGGAUUCUUCUCAGAAAGUGGUUUACAAUUGACAACAGUCCAAAAUUUGCUUUUUUUUUUUUUAAGACAAUUCAUGAGAAUGAACCCUGACAAGUACUCUUGAAUACAGGUUUCUAAUAACUUUGGAGAUUGUAUUAUUAGACUAAGUAAAGACUUUAAGAACUCCCAUAAACUGAUGUGUUCAUGAAGAUUUCUAACUCAACAUCAAGCAGAAUGAGAAUUUAUUAUGUGGGACUGAACUGAUAGAAAAAGAAGACUGAAAUGCUUUUUAGGACUUUGUGUUUAAAACAUUGCUGAUUCUUUUUAUAUUUGUUUUGCAGAGUAAAUGAAACUUUUUUGAGCUGUUUAUAGCUUACAGAAUUGGGUGAAAUAUAACAUUUGUGAACAACAUUCUCUAUACCUUAUUUCUCCAAAAUUUAAAAUCCAUUUAUUAAUAAUCUUAUUUUAUGGUAACCAUAAAAUAAGAUACACUGAUUAUUAUACUAAGGCUAUGACCAAAAUGGCAUAUUUUUGGAUAUUAUCAGACUGCUUUAAAAAAUUAAGAUUGACUUUAUAGAGUCAAUAAAAAGUCCUCAGAGAGAUUGACCUGGUACUUUGUCUACAUAGUUCCUUUCAAAAAUUCUGACCUUGCAGUAAGUAAAGAAUGUCAAUAUCCAACAGGCCCAGGAAACUCAAGAUAUCUUGGGGACCUUGAGAAGGGAGAAGUUUAUUCAAUUUGUACAGGUAUUACAGGCACAUUCUAAUUGUGAAUCUUUGACUUGGCUUCCUAGCCUGGAGACUUAUAAAAGCCUAAUCUGAAAUUCCUUAAGAAAGUUUCAGCAAAGCCAAUUUAAAAGAGCCUAUAUGGUAAUCGCUAUUCUUGUUGUGUUUUUUGAAAAUAAUCAGGCUCAGUACAACACUAAAACUUAUUUUGGAAGUAAAUUGGUCCUACUAAGAUUUGUCUUAGGUGUAAAUGGGAAACUGGAGAGAGAAAAAUUAUGGUUCAGAGAAAAAUUAUAGCAUACCUGUUAUUAGAUUCCAGCCCUGACCACUGUUUUUGAGUUUUUGUCAUUUUCCAAUAAUUUGGACUGAAUCCCCAAUGAAACAGGUUUUUUACUAUGUAUUUAUCAGUUUUUCUUCUUCUGAGAAAACCAAAAGCAUGAAAUUCUGAAGACUGGAGAUGACUUAACAAGAAAUGACAGUUAUAGAAAUCAAUGACUUGACUGAGGAUUAUCCAAGAAUGAGCCUUCCCAGUGCCAAGGGAUGAAGGCCUAAGAGAUUGAUCAUCACUGCUUCCAUGGGAAGAUUUUUUAUAAACAGGAGAAAUGAGGAAAGGAAAAUAGCUCCGAGCAGUCUGAAGUCUGCAAGGUGUGCAGGGCCAGAGAGACAUGAGUAUGUAUAUGAUGCCACACUAUGCCUAGGAAAAGUUUAGUCCUUGUGCCCCUGACUAGCUGCCUCGCCCAUUAUCUUCAUGUUCCUAGAAUUUGUAACACAAAGAACAAUGUACAACCUAUAAAUAGCUUAUGUUAUUUUAAUGUAAAUUUUUGGUAAACAACUCAGGAACUGCCUCUUCUUUCCCUUUACUUCCCUAAUUGUUUACAAGCAACACUUAUUACGUUGCUGAUUUGAGUGUAUAUUCAGGAUAAAUAGAAUCUAUGCUCCUGGGUUGCAGCCCUCAAGCUUGGUCCAAAUAAACUCUCUACUUACA
This is a long non-coding RNA of Homo sapiens (human), 4235 nucleotides long. RefSeq lists it as uncharacterized. Lineage: Eukaryota; Metazoa; Chordata; Mammalia; Primates; Hominidae. The record is from RefSeq and is a predicted model, not a curated record. The transcript is spliced from 2 exons.